This 312-nucleotide long non-coding RNA is filed under the name Capsicum annuum. Its description in RNAcentral is "long non-coding RNA (CANN_LNC014435)". Lineage: Eukaryota; Viridiplantae; Streptophyta; Magnoliopsida; Solanales; Solanaceae. The record is from RNAcentral.
AUCAUCAAGGAAAUUAUCCCACCAGCCUCGAAGUUGGCCAGUAAAUCCUGCAACAAUCAUUUUACAGAUUGUUUGGUCAGUACGAUUGGCCCUAUUUUCUGGCGAAGUAGUGGCUGUGGCAAUAGUAGCAUACAUGGACAUUCGAUGAAUAAGAAUAGAGAUUUGUCGGUCAGAUAAUCCGUCAAUAUUCCAUUCAUAAAUGGCUUCUCCACUAUAAGAAGUAUUUGUCUGAUUCCAUUCCCUUUCCUCUAUCAGAACAUCUUGAGGAGUUGGACGUGGAUAAUAUGCAGUAGACAUACGGGGAAUAUCAGC